RNAcentral lists this ribosomal RNA (433 nucleotides) under uncultured bacterium. Its description in RNAcentral is "partial 16S ribosomal RNA". It matches the Rfam family "Bacterial small subunit ribosomal RNA", at positions 29 to 507 of the family's 1533-position model. The record is from RNAcentral.
AACGAACGCUGGCGGCAUGCCUAACACAUGCAAGUCGAACGAGACCUUCGGGUCUAUUGGCGCACGGGUGCGUAACGCGUGGGAACCUUCCCUUAGGUUCGGAAUAACUCCCCGACAGGGGUGCUAAUACCGGAUAAUGUCUUCGGACCAAAGAUUUAUCGCCUUUGGAUGGGCCCGCGUUGGAUUAGCUAGUUGGUAGGGUAAAAGCCUACCAAGGCGACGAUCCAUAGCUGGUCUGAGAGGAUGAUCAGCCACACUGGGACUGAGACACGGCCCAGAAUCCUACGGGAGGCAGCAGUGGGGAAUAGUGGACAAUGGGCGAAAGCCUGAUCCAGCAAUGCCGCGUGAGUGAUGAAGGCCUUAGGGUUGUAAAGCUCUUUUAACCGGGAUGAUAAUGACAGUACCGGGAGAAUAAGCUCCGGCUAACUCCGUG